RNAcentral lists this ribosomal RNA (434 nucleotides) under Chromodoris magnifica. Its description in RNAcentral is "partial 16S ribosomal RNA". It matches the Rfam family "Bacterial large subunit ribosomal RNA", at positions 1817 to 2597 of the family's 2925-position model. Lineage: Eukaryota; Metazoa; Mollusca; Gastropoda; Nudibranchia; Chromodorididae. The record is from RNAcentral.
AGCCUUUGGAAAGGAUUAAAGGUUAUACCUGCCCAAUGUUAUAUUAAUGGCCGCGGUACUUUGACCGUGCUAAGGUAGCACAAUCAAUUGGCCCUUAAUUAGGGUCAGGUAUGAAUGGAGUUACGGGGCUUAGCUGUCUCUAGACUAUUUAAUUGAAGUUGCUAUAUAGGUGAAAAAGCCUGUAUUAAGAAAAAAGACGAGAAGACCCUUAGAGUUUUACUUAAAAAAGAGUUAUUUCUUCACUAGUUUUGUUGGGGCAACAUAGGAGAAGAACCAAACCUCCUAAAGGAUAUAAACCGAUGUUUCUAAAUAUGAAUAAACUACCUUAGGGAUAACAGCAUAAUUUUAAAAAUAAGUUUGUGACCUCGAUGUUGGACUAGGAAACUUAAGGGCUAGCCGCCUUUUGGUAAGGUUCUGUUCGAACUAUAAUUCCU